This 516-nucleotide ribosomal RNA is filed under the name uncultured bacterium. RNAcentral describes it as "bacterial SSU rRNA". It matches the Rfam family "Bacterial small subunit ribosomal RNA", at positions 29 to 518 of the family's 1533-position model. The record is from RNAcentral.
ACGAACGCUGGCGGCGUGCCUAAUACAUGCAAGUCGAACGGUCUUUCUAUGGAAGCUUGCCUCCACUGAGAAGAUAGUGGCGAACGGGUGAGUAACACGUGGGUAACCUGCCCAUAAGAGGGGGAUAACAUCCGGAAACGGGUGCUAAUACCGCAUAGUUUUCUUGAUCGCAUGAUUGAGAAAGGAAAGACGGCCUUUGUGCUGUCGCUUAUGGAUGGACCCGCGGCGUAUUAGUUAGUUGGUGAGGUAACGGCUCACCAAGACGAUGAUACGUAGCCGACCUGAGAGGGUGAUCGGCCACAUUGGGACUGAGACACGGCCCAAACUCCUACGGGAGGCAGCAGUAGGGAAUCUUCCGCAAUGGACGAAAGUCUGACGGAGCAACGCCGCGUGAGUGAAGAAAGGUUUUCGGAUCGUAAAACUCUGUUGUCAGAGAAGAACAAGUUGGAGAGUAACUGCUCCAGCCUUGACGGUAUCUGACCAGAAAGCCACGGCUAACUACGUGCCAGCCGCGGC